This 534-nucleotide ribosomal RNA is filed under the name uncultured bacterium. Its description in RNAcentral is "bacterial SSU rRNA". It matches the Rfam family "Bacterial small subunit ribosomal RNA", at positions 1 to 524 of the family's 1533-position model. The record is from RNAcentral.
GCUAUUUAGGUUAGAGUUUGAUCAUGGCUCAGGACGAACGCUGGCGGCGUGCUUAACACAUGCAAGUGGAGCGACGAACCAGGCUUCGGCCUGGGGCAGAGCCGCGAACGGGUGAGUAACACGUGAGCAAUCUGCCCCGAACUCUGGGAUAACUGCGGGAAACCGCAGCUAAUACCGGAUACGACCCAAGGAGGCAUCUCCAUUGGGUGGAAAGUUUUUCGGUUCGGGAUGAGCCCGCGGCGGAUUAGCUUGUUGGUGGGGUAAAGGCCCACCAAGGCGACGAUCCGUAGCUGGUCUGAGAGGACGAUCAGCCACACUGGGACUGAGACACGGCCCAGACUCCUACGGGAGGCAGCAGUAGGGAAUCUUGCGCAAUGGGCGAAAGCCUGACGCAGCGACGCCGCGUGAGGGAAGAAGGCCUUCGGGUUGUAAACCUCUUUCAGGAGGGACGAAGCCACUCGGGUUAAUAGCCCAGAGGGUGACGGUACCUCCAGAAGAAGCCCCGGCUAACUACGUGCCAGCAGCCGCGGUAAU